GACGAACGCUGGCGGCGUGCCUAAUACAUGCAAGUUGAGCGCUGAAGGUUGGUCCUUGUCCCGACUGGAUGAGCAGCGCACGGGUGAGUAACGCGUGGGGAAUCUGCCUUUGAGCGGGGGACAACAUUUGGAAACGAAUGCUAAUACCGCAUAAAAACUUUAAACACAAGUUUUAAGUUUGAAAGAUGCAAUUGCAUCACUCAAAGAUGAUCCCGCGUUGUAUUAGCUAGUUGGUGAGGUAAAGGCUCACCAAGGCGAUGAUACAUAGCCGACCUGAGAGGGUGAGCGGCCACAUUGGGACUGAGACACGGCCCAAACUCCUACGGGAGGCAGCAGUAGGGAAUCUUCGGCAAUGGACGAAAGUCUGACCGAGCAACGCCGCGUGAGUGAAGAAGGUUUUCGGAUCGUAAAACUCUGUUGGUAGAGAAGAACGUUGGUGAGAGUGGAAAGCUCAUCAAGUGACGGUAACUACCCAGAAAGGGACGGCUAACUACGUG
This 497-nucleotide ribosomal RNA is filed under the name uncultured bacterium. RNAcentral describes it as "partial 16S ribosomal RNA". It matches the Rfam family "Bacterial small subunit ribosomal RNA", at positions 28 to 507 of the family's 1533-position model. The record is from RNAcentral.